This 67-nucleotide ribosomal RNA is filed under the name Tissierella simiarum. RNAcentral's name for it is "Tissierella sp. MSJ-40 partial 16S ribosomal RNA". It matches the Rfam family "Bacterial small subunit ribosomal RNA", at positions 1 to 67 of the family's 1533-position model. The record is from RNAcentral. Lineage: Bacteria; Bacillati; Bacillota; Tissierellia; Tissierellales; Tissierellaceae.
UUAAAUGAGAGUUUGAUCCUGGCUCAGGACGAACGCUGGCGGCGUGCCUAACACAUGCAAGUCGAGC